Molecule: ribosomal RNA, 433 nt
Filed under: uncultured bacterium
Lineage: Bacteria
Description: partial 16S ribosomal RNA
Rfam family: Bacterial small subunit ribosomal RNA
Source: RNAcentral
AACGAAUGCUGGCGGCAUGCCUAACACAUGCAAGUCGAACGAGACCUUCGGGCCGAGUGGUGCAAGGGUGUGUAACGCGUGGGAAUCUGCCCUCGGGUUCGGAAUGACAGCUGGAAACGACUGAGCAUACUGGAUGCUGACGCAAGUCCAAAGUUUUAUUGCCCAAGGCUAAGCCCGCGUAGGCUUAGCUAGUUGGUGAGGUAAAGGCUCAUCAAUGCGACGAUCCUUAGCUGGUCUGAGAGGAUGGUCGGCCACACUGGGACUGAGACACGGCCCAGACUCCUCCGGGAGGCAGCAGUGGGGAAUAUUGGACUACGGGCGAAAGCCUGAUCCAGCACUGCCGCUUGAGUGAUGAAGUCCUUAGGGUUGUAAAGCUCUUUUACCCGGGAUGAUAAUGGCAGUACCGAGAGAAUAAGCUCCGGCUAACUCCGUG